UACGGAGGGUGCAAGCGUUAUCCGGAUUCACUGGGUUUAAAGGGUGCGUAGGUGGGUUGGUAAGUCAGUGGUGAAAUCUCCGUGCUUAACAUGGAACUGCCAUUGAUACUACUGAUCUUGAAUUUUCUGGAGGUAAGCGGAAUAUGUCAUGUAGCGGUGAAAUGCUUAGAUAUGACAUAGAACACCAAUUGCGAAGGCAGCUUGCUACAGGGAUAUUGACACUGAGGCACGAAAGCGUGGGGAUCAAACAGG
RNAcentral lists this ribosomal RNA (252 nucleotides) under uncultured bacterium. RNAcentral describes it as "partial 16S ribosomal RNA". It matches the Rfam family "Bacterial small subunit ribosomal RNA", at positions 524 to 776 of the family's 1533-position model. The record is from RNAcentral.